UGAAAGAGUAUGUCGGAGAUAAGGCACAUCUUUAUGCACAUGGUGCUGCACUAAUUGGGCCCAACAAAAUGUUAAAAGAAUAUACAGUAAAUAUGCCAAUAAAGUCACCAUAUUUUGCAAAGGGAACUGAGCUUAAUUAUUUAAGUCAGUGGCCGACAAAUUUAAAGGUCGGACAGUAAAAUAUAAAAAAGUACUAAAAGAUAAAAUUCUUAAACGCACAACAAUAAAAUAUAAAAAAGUAAAAAUAUCAAGGGAUCAAAAGGGCCCAUUCAUCGACACCUCAAACUUCCAUUAAAUAGCUUGAAUAAGGGCCCAAUCUAAAGUCCCGCGUAACUCGG
Molecule: long non-coding RNA, 338 nt
Filed under: Salvia miltiorrhiza (redroot sage)
Lineage: Eukaryota; Viridiplantae; Streptophyta; Magnoliopsida; Lamiales; Lamiaceae
Description: long non-coding RNA (SMIL_LNC008875)
Source: RNAcentral